This 1509-nucleotide ribosomal RNA is filed under the name Kineothrix alysoides. RNAcentral describes it as "bacterial SSU rRNA". It matches the Rfam family "Bacterial small subunit ribosomal RNA". Lineage: Bacteria; Bacillati; Bacillota; Clostridia; Lachnospirales; Lachnospiraceae. The record is from RNAcentral.
AGAGUUUGAUCCUGGCUCAGGAUGAACGCUGGCGGCGUGCCUAACACAUGCAAGUCGAACGGAGUAAUUAAGCGGAAGUCUUCGGAUGGAAGCUUAGCUACUUAGUGGCGGACGGGUGAGUAACGCGUGGGCAACCUGCCCUGUACCGGGGGAUAACACUUAGAAAUAGGUGCUAAUACCGCAUAAGCGCACGGUCUCGCAUGAGACAGUGUGAAAAACUCCGGUGGUACAGGAUGGACCCGCGUCUGAUUAGCUAGUUGGUGGGGUAGAGGCCUACCAAGGCGACGAUCAGUAGCCGGCCUGAGAGGGUGACCGGCCACAUUGGGACUGAGACACGGCCCAAACUCCUACGGGAGGCAGCAGUGGGGAAUAUUGCACAAUGGGGGAAACCCUGAUGCAGCGACGCCGCGUGAGUGAAGAAGUAUUUCGGUAUGUAAAGCUCUAUCAGCAGGGAAGAAAAUGACGGUACCUGACUAAGAAGCCCCGGCUAACUACGUGCCAGCAGCCGCGGUAAUACGUAGGGGGCAAGCGUUAUCCGGAUUUACUGGGUGUAAAGGGAGCGUAGACGGCAGGGCAAGUCUGAAGUGAAAGCCCGGGGCUCAACCCCGGGACUGCUUUGGAAACUGUCCGGCUGGAGUGCAGGAGAGGUAAGUGGAAUUCCUAGUGUAGCGGUGAAAUGCGUAGAUAUUAGGAGGAACACCAGUGGCGAAGGCGGCUUACUGGACUGUAACUGACGUUGAGGCUCGAAAGCGUGGGGAGCAAACAGGAUUAGAUACCCUGGUAGUCCACGCCGUAAACGAUGAUUACUAGGUGUCGGGGGCUAUUAGACCUUCGGUGCCGCAGCAAACGCAAUAAGUAAUCCACCUGGGGAGUACGUUCGCAAGAAUGAAACUCAAAGGAAUUGACGGGGACCGCACAAGCGGUGGAGCAUGUGGUUUAAUUCGAAGCAACGCGAAGAACCUUACCAAGUCUUGACAUCCCAAUGACAGCAUAUGUAAUGUAUGUUCCCUUCGGGGCAUUGGAGACAGGUGGUGCAUGGUUGUCGUCAGCUCGUGUCGUGAGAUGUUGGGUUAAGUCCCGCAACGAGCGCAACCCUUAUCUUUAGUAGCCAGCAGUAAGAUGGGAACUCUAGAGAGACUGCCGGGGAUAACCCGGAGGAAGGUGGGGAUGACGUCAAAUCAUCAUGCCCCUUAUGAUUUGGCUACACACGUGCUACAAUGGCGUGAACAGAGGGAAGCGAAGGGGUGACCUGGAGCAAAUCCCAAAAAACACGUCUCAGUUCGGAUUGUAGUCUGCAACUCGACUACAUGAAGCUGGAAUCGCUAGUAAUCGCGAAUCAGAAUGUCGCGGUGAAUACGUUCCCGGGUCUUGUACACACCGCCCGUCACACCAUGGGAGUCGGAAAUGCCCGAAGUCUGUGACCUAACCCGCAAGGGAGGAGCAGCCGAAGGCAGGUCUGAUAACUGGGGUGAAGUCGUAACAAGGUAGCCGUAUCGGAAGGUGCGGCUG